UACGUAGGUGGCAAGCGUUGUCCGGAAUUAUUGGGCGUAAAGCGCGCGCAGGUGGUCCUUUAAGUCUGAUGUGAAAGCCCACGGCUCAACCGUGGAGGGUCAUUGGAAACUGGGGGACUUGAGUGCAGGAGAGAAAAGUGGAAUUCCACGUGUAGCGGUGAAAUGCGUAGAGAUGUGGAGGAACACCAGUGGCGAAGGCGAGUCCCUGGACAACUCCUGACACUGAGGCACGAAAGCUAGGGGAGCAAACAGG
This 253-nucleotide ribosomal RNA is filed under the name uncultured bacterium. RNAcentral describes it as "partial 16S ribosomal RNA". It matches the Rfam family "Bacterial small subunit ribosomal RNA", at positions 524 to 776 of the family's 1533-position model. The record is from RNAcentral.